Molecule: ribosomal RNA, 429 nt
Filed under: Fusobacteriota bacterium
Lineage: Bacteria; Fusobacteriati; Fusobacteriota
Description: Fusobacteria bacterium partial 16S ribosomal RNA
Rfam family: Bacterial small subunit ribosomal RNA
Source: RNAcentral
UGGGGAAUAUUGCGCAAUGGGCGAAAGCCUGACGCAGCGACGCCGCGUGAGGGAUGAAGGUUUUCGGAUCGUAAACCUCUGUCAGAAGGGAAGAAACCGCACUGUGCUAAUCAGCAGUGCCUUGACGGUACCUUCAAAGGAAGCACCGGCUAACUCCGUGCCAGCAGCCGCGGUAAUACGGAGGGUGCAAGCGUUAAUCGGAAUUACUGGGCGUAAAGCGCACGUAGGCUGCUUUGUAAGUCAGGGGUGAAAUCCCACGGCUCAACCGUGGAACUGCCUUUAAUACUGCUUAGCUUGAAUCCGGGAGAGGGUGGCGGAAUUCCAGGUGUAGGAGUGAAAUCCGUAGAUAUCUGGAGGAACAUCAGUGGCGAAGGCGGCCACCUGGACCGGUAUUGACGCUGAGGUGCGAAAGCGUGGGGAGCAAACAGG